GACGAACGCUGGCGGCGUGCUUAACACAUGCAAGUCGAACGGAAAGGCCCUGCUUUUGUGGGGUGCUCGAGUGGCGAACGGGUGAGUAACACGUGAGUAACCUGCCCUUGACUUUGGGAUAACUUCAGGAAACUGGGGCUAAUACCGGAUAGGAGCUCCUGCUGCAUGGUGGGGGUUGGAAAGUUUCGGCGGUUGGGGAUGGACUCGCGGCUUAUCAGCUUGUUGGUGGGGUAGUGGCUUACCAAGGCUUUGACGGGUAGCCGGCCUGAGAGGGUGACCGGCCACAUUGGGACUGAGAUACGGCCCAGACUCCUACGGGAGGCAGCAGUGGGGAAUAUUGCACAAUGGGCGGAAGCCUGAUGCAGCAACGCCGCGUGCGGGAUGACGGCCUUCGGGUUGUAAACCGCUUUCGCCUGUGACGAAGCGUGAGUGACGGUAAUGGGUAAAGAAGCACCGGCUAACUACGUGCCAGCAGCCGCGGUGAUACGUAGGGUGCGAGCGUUGUCCGGAUUUAUUGGGCGUAAAGGGCUCGUAGGUGGUUGAUCGCGUCGGAAGUGUAAUCUUGGGGCUUAACCCUGAGCGUGCUUUCGAUACGGGUUGACUUGAGGAAGGUAGGGGAGAAUGGAAUUCCUGGUGGAGCGGUGGAAUGCGCAGAUAUCAGGAGGAACACCAGUGGCGAAGGCGGUUCUCUGGGCCUUUCCUGACGCUGAGGAGCGAAAGCGUGGGGAGCGAACAGGCUUAGAUACCCUGGUAGUCCACGCUGUAAACGGUGGGUACUAGGUGUGGGGUCCAUUCCACGGGUUCCGUGCCGUAGCUAACGCUUUAAGUACCCCGCCUGGGGAGUACGGCCGCAAGGCUAAAACUCAAAGGAAUUGACGGGGCCCCGCACAAGCGGCGGAGCAUGCGGAUUAAUUCGAUGCAACGCGUAGAACCUUACCUGGGUUUGACAUGGAUCGGGAGUGCUCAGUGAUGGGUGUGCCUCUUUUGGGGUCGGUUCACAGGUGGUGCAUGGCUGUCGUCAGCUCGUGUCGUGAGAUGUUGGGUUAAGUCCCGCAACGAGCGCAACCCUUGUUCACUGUUGCCAGCACGUUAUGGUGGGGACUCAGUGGAGACCGCCGGGGUCAACUCGGAGGAAGGUGGGGAUGACGUCAAGUCAUCAUGCCCCUUAUGUCCAGGGCUUCACGCAUGCUACAAUGGCUGGUACAGAGAGUGGCGAGCCUGUGAGGGUGAGCGAAUCUCGGAAAGCCGGUCUCAGUUCGGAUUGGGGUCUGCAACUCGACCUCAUGAAGUCGGAGUCGCUAGUAAUCGCAGAUCAGCAACGCUGCGGUGAAUACGUUCCCGGG
This 1343-nucleotide ribosomal RNA is filed under the name uncultured bacterium. RNAcentral's name for it is "16S ribosomal RNA". It matches the Rfam family "Bacterial small subunit ribosomal RNA", at positions 28 to 1378 of the family's 1533-position model. The record is from RNAcentral.